This 700-nucleotide ribosomal RNA is filed under the name uncultured bacterium. Its description in RNAcentral is "bacterial SSU rRNA". It matches the Rfam family "Bacterial small subunit ribosomal RNA", at positions 94 to 828 of the family's 1533-position model. The record is from RNAcentral.
AGUGGCGGACGGGUGAGUAACGCGUAAGAAUCUAACUUCAGGACGGGGACAACAGUUGGAAACGACUGCUAAUACCCGAUGUGCCGGGAGGUGAAACCUAAUUGGCCUGAAGAAGAGCUUGCGUCUGAUUAGCUAGUUGGUGGGGUAAGAGCCUACCAAGGCGACGAUCAGUAGCUGGUCUGAGAGGGUGAGCAGCCACACUGGGACUGAGACACGGCCCAGACUCCUACGGGAGGCAGCAGUGGGGAAUUUUCCGCAAUGGGCGAAAGCCUGACGGAGCAACGCCGCGUGAGGGAGGAAGGUCUUUGGAUUGUAAACCUCUUUUCUCAAGGAAGAAGUUCUGACGGUACUUGAGGAAUCAGCCUCGGCUAACUCCGUGCCAGCAGCCGCGGUAAUACGGGGGAGGCAAGCGUUAUCCGGAAUUAUUGGGCGUAAAGCGUCCGCAGGUGGUCAGCCAAGUCUGCUGUCAAAUCAGGUUGCUUAACGACCUAAAGGCGGUGGAAACUGGCAGACUAGAGAGCAGUAGGGGUAGCAGGAAUUCCCAGUGUAGCGGUGAAAUGCGUAGAGAUUGGGAAGAACAUCGGUGGCGAAAGCGUGCUACUGGGCUGUAUCUGACACUCAGGGACGAAAGCUAGGGGAGCGAAAGGGAUUAGAUACCCCUGUAGUCCUAGCCGUAAACGAUGGAUACUAGGCGUGGCUU